This 616-nucleotide ribosomal RNA is filed under the name uncultured bacterium. Its description in RNAcentral is "bacterial SSU rRNA". It matches the Rfam family "Bacterial small subunit ribosomal RNA", at positions 97 to 728 of the family's 1533-position model. The record is from RNAcentral.
GGCGAACGGGUGAGUAACACGAGGGUGACCUGCCCUCCACUCUGGGAUAAGCCCGGGAAACUGGGUCUAAUACCGGAUAGGACCUCUGACCGCAUGGUUGGGGGUGGAAAGUUUAUUCGGUGGGGGAUGGGCCCGCGGCCUAUCAGCUUGUUGGUGGGGUGAUGGCCUACCAAGGCGGUGACGGGUAGCCGGCCUGAGAGGGCGACCGGCCACACUGGGACUGAGACACGGCCCAGACUCUACGGGAGGCAGCAGUGGGGAAUAUUGCGCAAUGGGCGGAAGCCUGACGCAGCGACGACGCGUGGGGGAUGACGGCCUUCGGGUUGUAAACCUCUUUCGCCAGGGACGAAGCUAACGUGACGGUACCUGGAGAAGAAGCACCGGCCAACUACGUGCCAGCAGCCGCGGUAACACGUAGGGUGCGAGCGUUGUCCGGAAUUAUUGGGCGUAACGAGCUCGUAGGCGGUGUGUCGCGUCGAUCGUGAAACUUGGGGCUUAACUCUGAGCGUGCGGUCGAUACGGGCAUCACUUGAGUUCGGCAGGGGAGACUGGAAUUCCUGGUGUAGCGGUGAAAUGCGCAGAAAUCAGGAGGAACACCGGUGGCGAAGGCGGGUCU